Molecule: ribosomal RNA, 496 nt
Filed under: uncultured bacterium
Lineage: Bacteria
Description: partial 16S ribosomal RNA
Rfam family: Bacterial small subunit ribosomal RNA
Source: RNAcentral
AUUGAACGCUGGCGGAAUGCUUUACACAUGCAAGUCGAACGGUAGAGGGGGCAACCCCUCGAGAGUGGCGAACGGGUGAGUAAUAUAUCGGAACGUGCCCAGUCGUGGGGGAUAACGUAGCGAAAGUUACGCUAAUACCGCAUACGAUCCAAGGAUGAAAGCGGGGGAUCGCAAGACCUCGCGUGAAUGGAGCGGCCGAUAUCAGAUUAGGUAGUUGGUGGGGUAAAGGCUCACCAAGCCAACGAUCUGUAGCUGGUCUGAGAGGACGACCAGCCACACUGGAACUGAGACACGGUCCAGACUCCUACGGGAGGCAGCAGUGGGGAAUUUUGGACAAUGGACGCAAGUCUGAUCCAGCCAUUCCGCGUGCAGGAUGAAGGCCCUCGGGUUGUAAACUGCUUUUGUACGGAACGAAAAGGUCUCUCUUAAUACGGGGGACUCAUGACGGUACCGUAAGAAUAAGCACCGGCUAACUACGUGCCAGCCGCCGCGGUAA